AAGAACUUAACUCUUAAGCAAAGAAAAGCUGAAGUUAAACGAAUAAACUCUCAUUACGCUGAUCAGAGUCCUCGAUCUUUCUUAGCUAACUUCAGGAAAGUCUGUUUUCUUGGGAUAGAAUCCGCAUAGCUGAACUCUAUUCCCUAGCCUUCUUCAUGGCUCUUCAUUCUUCCUGAAAGAAAUAGCAACAAUGGUUUUAAACAGGCAAAUGAAACAUUUACAUAUCUUCAAGGUCAAACCAAGC
Symphalangus syndactylus (siamang) is the source of this 244-nucleotide long non-coding RNA. RefSeq lists it as uncharacterized. NCBI's taxonomy places the organism in Eukaryota, Metazoa, Chordata, Mammalia, Primates, Hylobatidae. The record is from RefSeq and is a predicted model, not a curated record.